Molecule: ribosomal RNA, 445 nt
Filed under: uncultured bacterium
Lineage: Bacteria
Description: partial 16S ribosomal RNA
Rfam family: Bacterial small subunit ribosomal RNA
Source: RNAcentral
GUGAGGAAUAUUGGUCAAUGGGCGAGAGCCUGAACCAGCCAAGUCGCGUGAAGGAAGAAGGAUCUAUGGUUCGUAAACUUCUUUUGCAGGGGAAUAAAGUGCAGGACGUGUCCUGUUUUGUAUGUACCCUGAGAAUAAGGAUCGGCUAACUCCGUGCCAGCAGCCGCGGUAAUACGGAGGAUCCGAGCGUUAUCCGGAUUUAUUGGGUUUAAAGGGCGCGUAGGUGGUUUGAUAAGUCAGCGGUGAAAGUUUGCAGCUUAACUGUAAAAAUGCCGUUGAAACUGUCGGACUUGAGUGUAAAUGGGGUAGGCAGAAUGCGUGGUGUAGCGGUGAAAUGCAUAGAUAUCACGCAGAACUCCGAUUGCGAAAGCAGCUUACUAAGCUACAACUGACACUGAAGCACGAAAGCGUGGCGAUCAAACAGGAUUAGAAACCCUGGUAGUCC